CGGCACGGGUGAGUAACACGUAUCCAACCUGCCGUCUACUCUUGGCCAGCCUUCUGAAAGGAAGAUUAAUCCAGGAUGGCAUCAUGAGUUCACAUGCCGCAUGAUUAAAGGUAUUUUCCGGUAGACGAUGGGGAUGCGUUCCAUUAGAUAGUAGGCGGGGUAACGGCCCACCUAGUCAACGAUGGAUAGGGGUUCUGAGAGGAAGGUCCCCCACAUUGGAACUGAGACACGGUCCAA
RNAcentral lists this ribosomal RNA (237 nucleotides) under uncultured bacterium. RNAcentral describes it as "partial 16S ribosomal RNA". It matches the Rfam family "Bacterial small subunit ribosomal RNA", at positions 100 to 334 of the family's 1533-position model. The record is from RNAcentral.